UACGUAGGGACCAAGCGUUGUUCGGAUUUACUGGGCGUAAAGGGCGCGUAGGCGGCAUGACAAGUCACUUGUGAAAUCUCCGGGCUUAACUCGGAACGGUCAAGUGAUACUGUCGCGCUAGAGUGCGGAAGGGGCAAUCAGAAUUCUUGGUGUAGCGGUGAAAUGCGUAGAUAUCAAGAGGAAUACCUGAGGUGAAGACGGGUUGCUGGUCUAACACUGACGCUGAGGCGCGAAAGCCAGGGGAGCAAACGGG
Molecule: ribosomal RNA, 253 nt
Filed under: uncultured bacterium
Lineage: Bacteria
Description: partial 16S ribosomal RNA
Rfam family: Bacterial small subunit ribosomal RNA
Source: RNAcentral